CACGUAGGGUGCGAGCGUUGUCCGGAAUUAUUGGGCGUAAAGAGCUCGUAGGCGGUGUGUCGCGUCGGCCGUGAAAACCUGCAGCUUAACUGUGGGCUUGCGGUCGAUACGGGCAUCACUGGAGUUCGGCAGGGGAGACUGGAAUUCCUGGUGUAGCGGUGAAAUGCGUAGAUAUCUGGAGGAACACCGGUGGCGAAGGCGGCAUCCUGGACCAAUACUGACACUGAGGAGCGAAAGCCAGGGGAGCAAACGGG
RNAcentral lists this ribosomal RNA (254 nucleotides) under uncultured bacterium. Its description in RNAcentral is "partial 16S ribosomal RNA". It matches the Rfam family "Bacterial small subunit ribosomal RNA", at positions 524 to 776 of the family's 1533-position model. The record is from RNAcentral.